AGAGUUUGAUCAUGGCUCAGAACGAACGCUGGCGGCAGGCCUAACACAUGCAAGUCGAGCGCACCUUCGGGUGAGCGGCGGACGGGUUAGUAACGCGUGGGAAUAUACCCUUUUCUACGGAAUAGCCUCGGGAAACUGAGAGUAAUACCGUAUACGCCCUUCGGGGGAAAGAUUUAUCGGAGAAGGAUUAGCCCGCGUUGGAUUAGGUAGUUGGUGGGGUAAUGGCCUACCAAGCCUACGAUCCAUAGCUGGUUUGAGAGGAUGAUCAGCAACACUGGGACUGAGACACGGCCCAGACUCCUACGGGAGGCAGCAGUGGGGAAUCUUAGACAAUGGGGGAAACCCUGAUCUAGCCAUGCCGCGUGGACGAUGAAGGCCCUAGGGUUGUAAAGUCCUUUCAGCUGGGAAGAUAAUGACGGUACCAGCAGAAGAAGCCCCGGCUAACUCCGUGCCAGCAGCCGCGGUAAUACGGAGGGGGCUAGCGUUGUUCGGAAUUACUGGGCGUAAAGCGCACGUAGGCGGAUUAGAAAGUCAGAGGUGAAAUCCCAGGGCUCAACCCUGGAACUGCCUUUGAAACUCCUAGUCUUGAGUUCGAGAGAGGUGAGUGGAAUUCCGAGUGUAGUGGUGAAAUUCGUAGAUAUUCGGAGGAACACCAGUGGCGAAGGC
This 666-nucleotide ribosomal RNA is filed under the name uncultured bacterium. RNAcentral describes it as "bacterial SSU rRNA". It matches the Rfam family "Bacterial small subunit ribosomal RNA", at positions 8 to 722 of the family's 1533-position model. The record is from RNAcentral.